This 878-nucleotide ribosomal RNA is filed under the name uncultured bacterium. RNAcentral describes it as "bacterial SSU rRNA". It matches the Rfam family "Bacterial small subunit ribosomal RNA", at positions 8 to 907 of the family's 1533-position model. The record is from RNAcentral.
AGAGUUUGAUCCUGGCUCAGGAUGAACGCUGGCGGCGCGCCUAACACAUGCAAGUCGAACGGCACCCAUCUUCGGAUGGAAGCGAGUGGCGAACGGCUGAGUAACACGUGGAGAACCUGCCCCCUCCCCCGGGAUAGCCGCCCGAAAGGACGGGUAAUACCGGAUACCCCGGGGUGCCGCAUGGCACCCCGGCUAAAGCCCCGACGGGAGGGGAUGGCUCCGCGGCCCAUCAGGUAGACGGCGGGGUGACGGCCCACCGUGCCGACAACGGGUAGCCGGGUUGAGAGACCGACCGGCCAGAUUGGGACUGAGACACGGCCCAGACUCCUACGGGAGGCAGCAGUGGGGAAUCUUGCGCAAUGGGGGGAACCCUGACGCAGCGACGCCGCGUGCGGGACGGAGGCCUUCGGGUCGUAAACCGCUUUCAGCAGGGAAGAGUCAAGACUGUACCUGCAGAAGAAGCCCCGGCUAACUACGUGCCAGCAGCCGCGGUAAUACGUAGGGGGCGAGCGUUAUCCGGAUUCAUUGGGCGUAAAGCGCGCGUAGGCGGCCCGGCAGGCCGGGGGUCGAAGCGGGGGGCUCAACCCCCCGAAGCCCCCGGAACCUCCGCGGCUUGGGUCCGGUAGGGGAGGGUGGAACACCCGGUGUAGCGGUGGAAUGCGCAGAUAUCGGGUGGAACACCGGUGGCGAAGGCGGCCCUCUGGGCCGAGACCGACGCUGAGGCGCGAAAGCUGGGGGAAGCGAACAGGAUUAGAUACCCUGGUAGUCCCAGCCGUAAACGAUGGACGCUAGGUGUGGGGGGACGAUCCCCCCGUGCCGCAGCCAACGCAUUAAGCGUCCCGCCUGGGGAGUACGGCCGCAAGGCUAAAACUCAAAGG